This is a non-coding RNA of Oryza sativa Japonica Group (Japanese rice), 1674 nucleotides long. The record is from RefSeq and is a predicted model, not a curated record. NCBI's taxonomy places the organism in Eukaryota, Viridiplantae, Streptophyta, Magnoliopsida, Poales, Poaceae.
CCCGAGCCCUGAGUUCUGAAUCGGAGCGGCGGCGGCGUAGUGCAACGCGGUCGCGCGUUCCCCUACGCGCACGCGAGAGGCGAGCCCGUCUCAGCCGCGUAUCUCCUCUUCCUCCUCCCUCCCCGACGAUGUGUGUCUCCGUCGAGCCACCUUCCUCAACCUCCGCGCCACGCACGCAACUAGCCCACCAGCCGCGUCGUUUCCCCACCCUCCUCGCUCCGCCCCACCUCCUAGGCUGCUCGCCUCCUCGGCGUAUCACAAAAAACUGAAACCGCCGGCACCCACCAACAAGCGGUCUUGAUGGCUGACAUUAAAAACCGAGCAGAUUUCAUGGAUGUCGAGCUCUUCACCAUGAAACGUCGUUCGAUUUGUUUUCUUAGUCCUCCCCUGAAAUCUUCAACCUCAGACUUCACCUUGAACACACCCAAGGGGGUGUAUAUUAACCUCCCGAAGAAUUAAGAAAGGAGGGAUUGGUUUUGUUUCGGCUCUACUUCAAGUUUCUACCGUCAGCGUUAAACAGGAUUGAAAUUUAUUUAGUAUAUACACUUCACUAAAGGAGACAAUUCAUGGUAUGAGGAUCACUGGUAUGUAUACUAAUUUUACAUCACGCUGCAUACCUGCACCGAUAGUUCAUUUUAAUUCUGAAUUCCGGAUGCAAAUUGCUUACUAUCGUUGUAACAGCUGCUGGAGCAAUCUAUAUAUACAUUGGGUAAUCAUAAUUGCCUCAUAUUCAUUCUUGGUCACAUGAUUUCUAUAUAUUAUUAUAUGCCCAUCCUGCGACACAUGCUGUGCAAGAGGUACAAGUAAUUCCUUCCAUAACAACAGUCUAGCUAUUUUUAUACACAUUGAUCCCUAAUUUUUUAUAUGUCUAUCCAGAUUCUUAUUUGGUAUAUGAUGAUCCUACUUUACACCCAUAUAACUUAAUUUUUCAUUUCUUUUCUGGCUAGAGUAUAAAGAAUGCUCUUUGUAAUAGCAAAAUUGAAUAGUUUGUCAAAUAUUGGGUUUUUCAUCAAGGCCAUCCGACUAUUUAUCUUCAGUUUUAUGGAUCUUUCAAUCCAAAAUACUACAAGUUGUUUUUUUUCUGUUGACAGAAAUUUUCAGCACUAAGACAUAUUGGUAUCCUAAGAAACAGAUAAAAUUAAGAUGGAUCUUCAACAAGAACCAUCCAGCAGGUUAUCACUGCUCACCAAUUAAGAAAUGUUAUUACAUUCUUUUCUCUAUUACUCUAUUCCUGGUGCCUUGCAUUCCAUGCACCAUCAUUUUCUUUUCUUGAGGGUAAUUUUUACCCGGCCUCUAUAUCCAACCGGUGAACCGAAUAUAUGCAGACUUUUAAAUUGGGAGCUUAAUCCCUCAAAUAAUACAAUCUGAAAUUCACUCCUAUAAAAAUUUGAAGUCGAGACCUUAGGUGUUACUCGGGUCACUGCAUGUCUAUACUUUGCCAUUUAUUGCGCUUUCCUUCAGGAAUCCCCAAACUUUCAAACAAGAUAUGCUGCUCAUUUUUCAUUUGUGCGUUCUUCACAAGUGAACGUGGAUGCAGUUGCUCAAGCGAAUUCUUCUACAAGCCCAACAAUUUCGUUAAUUGCCAAGCAAAUCUACAAGUGGAGACCUCAACAAACUGAGCUUUUAACAUUUCUUACAUAAAAAAUGGAUUACCUCAAAUGCAGGUCAUUCUAA